This 207-nucleotide ribosomal RNA is filed under the name uncultured bacterium. RNAcentral describes it as "partial 16S ribosomal RNA". It matches the Rfam family "Bacterial small subunit ribosomal RNA", at positions 568 to 774 of the family's 1533-position model. The record is from RNAcentral.
CGUGUAGGCGGGAGUGCAAGUCAGAUGUGAAAAUUAUGGGCUCAACCCAUAACCUGCAUUUGAAACUGUACUUCUUGAGUACUGGAGAGGCAGGCGGAAUUCCGUGUGUAGCGGUGAAAUGCGUAGAUAUACGGAGGAACACCAGUGGCGAAGGCGGCCUGCUGGACAGCAACUGACGCUGAGGCGCGAAAGCGUGGGGAGCAAACA